Molecule: ribosomal RNA, 427 nt
Filed under: uncultured Sporolactobacillus sp.
Lineage: Bacteria; Bacillati; Bacillota; Bacilli; Caryophanales; Sporolactobacillaceae
Description: bacterial SSU rRNA
Rfam family: Bacterial small subunit ribosomal RNA
Source: RNAcentral
UAGGGAAUCUUCCGCAAUGGACGAAAGUCUGACGGAGCAACGCCGCGUGAGCGAAGAAGGUUUUCGGAUCGUAAAGCUCUGUUGUUGGAGAAGAACAGGUGCCAGAGGAAAUGCUGGUGCUGUGACGGUAUCCAACCAGAAAGCCACGGCUAACUACGUGCCAGCAGCCGCGGUAAUACGUAGGUGGCAAGCGUUGUCCGGAAUUAUUGGGCGUAAAGCGCGCGCAGGCGGCUUCUUAAGUCUGAUGUGAAAGCCCACGGCUCAACCGUGGAGGGUCAUUGGAAACUGGGAAGCUUGAGUGCAGAAGAGGAGAGUGGAAUUCCACGUGUAGCGGUGAAAUGCGUAGAUAUGUGGAGGAACACCAGUGGCGAAAGCGGCUCUCUGGUCUGUAACUGACGCUGAGGCGCGAAAGCGUGGGGAGCAAACA